This 253-nucleotide unclassified non-coding RNA is filed under the name plant metagenome. RNAcentral's name for it is "partial contains small subunit ribosomal RNA, internal transcribed spacer 1, and 5.8S ribosomal RNA". The stretch from base 205 to 253 matches the Rfam family "5.8S ribosomal RNA", at positions 1 to 49 of the family's 154-position model. The record is from RNAcentral.
UUUCCGUAGGUGAACCUGCGGAAGGAUCAUUAUUGGAUUUUGAAACUUCAGGCUGCUGCUGGCUCUCCUCGGAGGGCAUGUGCACGCUUGUUGUCCAUUAUUUCUCCCACUGUGCACAAAUUGUAGACCUUUCAGUAGGCCUAUGUUGUUUUUCACAAUCUCUGAAUGUAAUAGAAUGGUUUUGAAUCUUGGGAAAUACAAUACAACUUUCAGCAACGGAUCUCUUGGCUCUCACAUCGAUGAAGAACGCAGC